UUUAGGGGACUCUCUAACUGGGACCAAUUGGUGGGAUUGCUGUUGAGGAAGUACACACGGAGAUACACUGGUUAGAGCUAAUGAGGUUUAACCAUGUAUCAGCUGAUUUCAAUAGCUCACGUUACUGUAUUGUGUCAACAUUUAACUUCGUUU
Etheostoma spectabile (orangethroat darter) is the source of this 153-nucleotide long non-coding RNA. RefSeq lists it as uncharacterized. NCBI's taxonomy places the organism in Eukaryota, Metazoa, Chordata, Actinopteri, Perciformes, Percidae. The record is from RefSeq and is a predicted model, not a curated record. The transcript is spliced from 3 exons.